RNAcentral lists this transfer RNA (90 nucleotides) under Butyricicoccus sp. AF22-28AC. Its description in RNAcentral is "tRNA-OTHER". It matches the Rfam family "tRNA". From Rfam's summary of the family: Transfer RNA (tRNA) molecules are approximately 80 nucleotides in length. Their secondary structure includes four short double-helical elements and three loops (D, anti-codon, and T loops). Lineage: Bacteria; Bacillati; Bacillota; Clostridia; Eubacteriales; Butyricicoccaceae. The record is from RNAcentral.
GGGGGUGUACCCAAGUGGUUGAAGGGUCCGGUCCUGAAAACCGGAAGGACGGUAAUCGUCGCAAGAGUUCGAAUCUCUUCGCUCCCGCCA